UUCCGGUUGAUCCUGCCGGAUCCGCGUGUGAUCGAGGGUUCCGGUCUAGGCCGGGGCUCGCGGAUGUACGUGCUCCGACGGUAACCAGCACUACAAGACCGCCUCUGUGAGGCGGUUCUUUGUUGGAGAGUUUGAUCCUGGCUCAGGAUAAACGCUGGCGGCGUGCCUAAUGCAUGCAAGUCGCGCGUCGAAACCGGUUUCGGCCGGUGGAAAGCGGCGGACGGGUGAGUAACACGUAGGAACCUGCCCAGAAGUGGGGGACAACCCCGGGAAACCGGGGCUAAUACCGCAUACGGUCCACGGACCAAAGCCUUCGGGCGCUUCUGGAGGGGCCUGCGGCGGAUUAGCUUGUUGGUGGGGUAACGGCCUACCAAGGCGACGAUCCGUAGCUGGUCUGAGAGGGCGGUCAGCCACACUGGGACUGAGAUACGGCCCAGACUCCUACGGGAGGCAGCAGCAAGGAAUUUUCCGCAAUGGGCGCAAGCCUGACGGAGCAACGCCGCGUGGGGGAUGAAGGCUCUAGGGUUGUAAACCCCUUUUGCGAGGGAAGAAGAUCUGACGGUACCUCGCGAAUAAGCCACGGCUAACUACGUGCCAGCAGCCGCGGUAAUACGUAGGUGGCAAGCGUUGUCCGGAUUCACUGGGCGUAAAGCGCGCGCAGGCGGGCCAAUAAGUC
RNAcentral lists this ribosomal RNA (676 nucleotides) under uncultured archaeon. RNAcentral's name for it is "bacterial SSU rRNA". The stretch from base 120 to 676 matches the Rfam family "Bacterial small subunit ribosomal RNA", at positions 1 to 589 of the family's 1533-position model. The record is from RNAcentral.